AAGAGAUUAGUUAAAUUAUAACAUUAAUUUGUCAAAUUAAAAUUAUUUAUUAAUAUCGCUUA
RNAcentral lists this transfer RNA (62 nucleotides) under Uroleucon erigeronensis. RNAcentral describes it as "tRNA-Asp". The record is from RNAcentral. Lineage: Eukaryota; Metazoa; Arthropoda; Insecta; Hemiptera; Aphididae.